RNAcentral lists this ribosomal RNA (255 nucleotides) under Triticum aestivum (bread wheat). RNAcentral describes it as "partial small subunit ribosomal RNA". The record is from RNAcentral. Lineage: Eukaryota; Viridiplantae; Streptophyta; Magnoliopsida; Poales; Poaceae.
UUCAAGCUGACUAAUGUCUACGGGCCUACAGACUAUGCGUGCAAGGAGGCCUUCUUUGCUGAGCUAUGCUCUUGCAAGCCACUUCCGGGUUUGGGAUGGCUUGUGCUUGGGGACUUCAACCAAAUAUAUCGUGCUAGGGACAAGAACAAGCGAAACAUCAACCGAAGGAGGAUUAAGCGAUUUCGGGACACUCUGCAGUCAUGUGAGCUCAAGGAGAUCCAUCUGCAGAAUAGGCGGUUCACGUGGAGCAACGAG